This 273-nucleotide ribosomal RNA is filed under the name uncultured prokaryote. RNAcentral describes it as "partial 16S ribosomal RNA". It matches the Rfam family "Bacterial small subunit ribosomal RNA", at positions 524 to 796 of the family's 1533-position model. The record is from RNAcentral.
UACGGAGGGUGCAAGCGUUGUUCGGAAUCACUGGGCGUAAAGGGCGCGCAGGCGGCCUGAUCAGUCAGAUGUGAAAGCCCACGGCUUAACUGUGGAAGUGCAUUUGAAACUGUCAGGCUUGAGUACCAGAGGGGAAAGUGGAAUUCCCGGUGUAGAGGUGAAAUUCGUAGAUAUCGGGAGGAAUACCGGUGGCGAAGGCGACUUUCUGGCUGGAUACUGACGCUGAGGCGCGAAAGCGUGGGGAGCAAACAGGAUUAGAAACCCUCGUAGUCC